RNAcentral lists this long non-coding RNA (1187 nucleotides) under Nicotiana benthamiana. RNAcentral describes it as "long non-coding RNA (NBEN_LNC024898)". The record is from RNAcentral. Lineage: Eukaryota; Viridiplantae; Streptophyta; Magnoliopsida; Solanales; Solanaceae.
UACCAACAACAGUCCAACUCCAUUGCCCCAACCUGCCGACCCGGUUUCAACCCAUUAACUUGCUUAUGGUCAUCUUUUCAUCCUAACCAUCUCUAUUGUCUAAUCCAAUGGUUCCAUUCCCCUUAAUCAUAAUACACAUGUUGAACUAACCUAGAGGAGCUAGCCUUAAGCAUCAACCGUAUAGACCUAGGCCCCGGGCCGUUUCUCUUCUUCUUCAUUCAAACAAAGACAACCCUAGAGACCUAAGCAGCCGCCGUCUGACCCUAUUACCGCACCCCUCAGCCAUCUUCUCAUCAACCAAAGAGCACACCUUCACUAACUUAGACCUCUCUUCUUCUCCACCCAUUUCCUUCACACCAAACGUCCACUAGCUCUCAUCUCUCACACACAAGAACAAACCAGAUGCUGGUGCUUCUUCAUCUCCUAACCAAGACCUUUCAGCACCUGAAAAAUGCGAGGAUACCACCCCAUCCUCAUUGGAGAGCACCGCUGGACCUCCUCACGACCUUCUAGCAACCACACCACCCUCAAAAACCAUUCCAACGCCCAGCCUUGACCCAGGACGAAACCAGAUCUGGCUAGACUUGUCUUCUUUUGUUACCUUUUGAGCCUUGCUUCCCAUUAGCGCUUUUUUGGUGUUACUCGUUAUGGUUAGUGAUGCCGAAUUUGUGCGCAUCUAGACAGACAGAUCAUUGGAUUUUCUCUAAAUUUUCAAGAACACCCACAAGAACACAGGAAAAAACAAACAAAAUCAGAGAGAAAAAGGAGUAUUUGAAAGCUAUCCGAACUUCCACUCUUCUACUUAAGUUUUUCUGAAAUUCGAGUGACAUUUAAGCUGUAGAAGUGUUGGUUCAAUUGCGGAAACCACUGCUACACGUUUUUGGGUUCGUCAUGGCUGAGAUGCGGUCGAUAUCGAGGUUGUUUUGCUGAGGUCCCCGUCGGGUAUGCCCGCAUUUUAGUUUCAUCGACCUGCGUUUCUUUUUAAACGGGCAGCAGGUUCAUUGAAAAAUUGAAUGUAGUUUAGGUCGUUGUCUUUCUCCUAUUCCUUGCUUGUUUCUUUCAUUGACUGUCUUAAUCGAUUUUGUGUAAUUAUUUGAUGGCAUGACAUUUUGUUACAUUUUAUUGAGCUUGGAUCUCUGAAUCUUAUUAUUCCUUUGUUUCACGUGAUUAUGGUUUGGAGUUUGUUG